CUAAAAAAGUGCCAAAGCCCGCUCCGCGGUGCCUGGAGUACUGUAAUUGUAUUUUGUGUUUCUUGAUUGAAUUGAAUUAGAUUUGUCAUACAUGGAGUAAUUCGUCAUUUACAGAAUGGCAAUAUAAUAAUAUGGCGGGAAAAUGUUUCCUUUAGAUGUUAGUGUUUUUUAUGCUACCACAGAUUCCACCGAAAAUGCCGGAUGAAAUCGAAAAUGAAGUGGUUACACAGAUACAGCCAAUAUUUCCUCAAUUUGAUGAACACGUUAUAAGGAUGGCUAUAACUCACGUUAGACAACGCGUACAGACUGCUCAGGGAGGGCAGCCAUUAACGACAGCCUUGUUACUCCCAGCUUGUAUCGACUUCUUGCUAGAAGUUACUCAAGAUUUUAUCCUCCCAUUAGGGAACAAUUUACAAGUAAAUGGAAUAAGUCGACCCUUAGUCCCUGUGUCUGAGGAGGGAAAAACAAAUAAUGGGGUUCCUGCCGUUAUCGUUAUUGACAGCCAAGAAGAUGCAGAUAAGACUCUGAUUACGGCUGAUACUAAGAUGAGCGUGACAAAGUCGAAUAAUAAAGACAAAUAUGAGCCUACAGUGUAUGCCGGAAUUGAGAGACCGGCUUUUGAUUCCACAGUGACUAAUCCAUGGAAUACGAUCAGGUCAUCUGACAGUUCUUCGAGUUCUAGUAGCAGUGGUGGUAGUGAAAGUUCUGAUUCUCAUUUGCCCUCGAGUAGCUCGUAUGAUUCAGAAACUUUUACAAACAGCUCAUUAAACACUAAUGAAAAUUGUGAAGAAAAUAGGAGAAAGUCUGAUCAACAGCUAAAUACUCACAAAGAAGUUCUUAAGUCUGCUCUGGAGAUAGUGGUAGGAGUGGUGCCAAAUGUUGAUGAGAAAUUUGCAAUGGAUUAUCUUAAGCGUUCUGCACAAUGCAUCAAUUAUGACCAAGCUAGAAUGGCUAAUGAGCUAAUUGAACAUUUGUUUGAAAAUCAUAAUUACCCAAAGAAAGUAGAAGUUGUGAAAGAUGUCAAAGAUAAUCUAAAAAAAGAGAAGGUGACAUCAGAUGUUGAUUACUACAAGGUAGAAGGUUUGCAGACCAGUUUGAAGCAGCUCAGUCUAUAUAAACUGCAGUGCAUGGUUUUAUUGGCAAACAAAUUCACCUUGGUAUGUAUAUUAGCCACUUAAACAUUAUGUUAGCAAACUGCGUCAAUGAAAUAUGAAAUAUAAAAUAAUUUUUUCUGAUUGCUGAAAUUUUAUGAUUUCCUAAAAUUGUUUGCUAAAAGAGCCCAAUUUCUAUUUUUUUACGUGACAAAUCUUGCUUUGCAAAACCUCAUACCAUAUUUUUUCCUAAAAUUUGACGUUUUUAUCUAGAAGAGCUCAAAAGCAGCCUAAUAAAUAUCCCUUAAAAAAUAAAUCAGAUAAAAUAAGAUUAUUAUGAUCAUUUCAUUCUGCAUUCUUAGUAUUUUAGAAUCUAUUCUUUUUCUAUUUCUUGCAAAGAAGCUGGCCAUCCGUGCAAAGAGCGCAUGCCCAUUUCUUUGCACCGGCCUUGCUUUCCCAAGAAGUGUAGUUUGUGCAUGCCUUAUCAAGGCUUUAAGCUACUACUUUUACAGGAAACAUCCAAUCCCACGCAAAUGUUUUCCCUGUUUGCAUGUUUCUGUUUUUAUUUAAUUGUGGAUUUGGGGUUAGGUUUACAUGAGAAUGUUAUAGUGCACCAGAAACACAGCCGUGUUUUUAUUUGAAACUGGAUUCAAUCAUUUACACAAUACACCAAUUCGACCUACGGCUGCACUUUGAAAAAUUCUUCAAAUUAUUUUGUACAAAAUUUUUGACCUCAGAUUCGGAUUGACAGCAAUAAUUUUAGUCUAUUUGUAAGUUUUCAUUAUGAUAUUGCUCACGAUAUUGAUUUUAUGACGACAUGAAGAUAAAAACUUUAUAAGGGAUUUGACCGUGAUUGGCGACUAGGGGGGUAAAGUUUCCCCCGGAACGAUUUUUGCGGUCAAAUCCCUUACAAGUUUUCAAACUUCAUUUCUCGGUUAAAUCUAAAAUACAAGCUCAAAAAAUAUGAAAAAUGGUAUCCCGCCUAAAAUUACGACGAUAAAACCAAAUCUGAGCUUAAAAAAAUCGUAUAAUUAAGUUUGGAGAAAUUUCCAAAACGAGGUCGUAAGUCGAAUUGGUGUAUCAAAGAGAUGUACUGGAUUGUGAAGCAUUAUGAUGCAAAUAAGAUUGGAUAGUUUUCUAGAAGGAGGUUCAGAAAGGGCCUAGGCAUCCUGUGCAGUAGUGUAGCGGAGGGAAUAGGCAAUUUUAAAGCCUAGUUUUUUAGAAAAUACAAUAUUCCUAGGUGAUGGCUAGGUGAUUUGUUUGCGCAAAAUAUCAGGUAACUUGAAUCUUAAAAUGUUUCCUUGUUUAAUUAACGAAAGCUUAAUAUUUACAGACAACAGGAUUUCAAAGAUAAUUAAUAGAGAGUGCGGGAAAAUAACCGACCCGAGCGGGGCUCGACCUCACGACCCCUGACUUUGUACGUCAAGUGCUCUGCUGCUGAGCCAUCGGGUCGUGCUUAAUAUACUUAAUAAGGAGUAAACUAGGGGAUGGACAUCUUUGGCGGUUGGGGCGAGGUAGGAAAUAGGUGAUGUUCCACUCCAGAUAUUUUACAAACCGUUCGUAUUUCUGCUUAGGGCUCCUAGAUUUAAACCAAAAAACUAAGCUCAAAAAAACUUCUUUGUAAAAAAACGUAAAUUUUUUUCCGGGUAAAAGUAUAGGGGUAGGUUUUUCCACAGCAACUGUGUUUUGGAUUGAAACAUUUACAAAUCCAGCUUGAAAUUGAGGCAGGUGAUUUUGCUAAUUACAUUUUGCAAACAAACCCGCUGAUUUGUCUAGAACAAAAUGUGCUCUUGUUAAAUAGAACCCCAUUGCACUCCUUGAUCCGACAAAGAGGGAAAUUCACUGCCUGCCUGCAAAUUUAUAUCUGGUAUGGCCUGAGAAGCAUUACCUUAAGCCUCACUUCACCUAUUUGUUAGUUACUCUAGGAAUCUAUUAUAGGUCCUUUCUAGAGUUUGGUCACAAAUCCUCUCGGGAUUACAGUCCUUGCUCUAAGCAAAAGUUCAGUUCAGUUCAGUUCAGUUUCAUAUUUUAAAUUCUCUACAUACAAUUCAUUCACAUCAACAAUAAAUAGUAACUGAUACAUACAAUUCAAAAUUACGCAAAGUCAAUACAUUAUCAUCAAAAAUUAAUACAAAAUUGAAAUGCAAAACAAAGAGUGGGACAAAUUGUAUGGAGGGAAAUACUUAAAGGAGGAGCUCUCUCAGUAGUUACAUUAAUUCUGCAAAGCACUCAGCAAAACAAACAUGCUCCAUAAAACAGCCUUCAAAGAUACUCAAAGGGCUCUACAUGUUUAACACCUCUCAGUAAAUUUUUUUUGAGAGUGUCCUUGGAAGAAGUGUUAUAUAAGAAAAUCAAAAGGGUAACCAAAAAGUACCA
Rhopilema esculentum is the source of this 3467-nucleotide non-coding RNA. NCBI's taxonomy places the organism in Eukaryota, Metazoa, Cnidaria, Scyphozoa, Rhizostomeae, Rhizostomatidae. The record is from RefSeq and is a predicted model, not a curated record.